ACAGGGGAAUUGCGUUAGUAGCGGCGAGUGAAGCGGCAAAAGCUCAAAUUUGAAAUCUGGCGCCUUCGGUGUCCGAGUUGUAAUUUGAAGAUUGUAACCUUGGGGUUGGCUCUUGUCUAUGUUUCUUGGAACAGGACGUCACAGAGGGUGAGAAUCCCGUGCGAUGAGAUGCCCAAUUCUAUGUAAGGUGCUUUCGAAGAGUCGAGUUGUUUGGGAAUGCAGCUCUAAGUGGGUGGUAAAUUCCAUCUAAAGCUAAAUAUUGGCGAGAGACCGAUAGCGAACAAGUACAGUGAUGGAAAGAUGAAAAGAACUUUGAAAAGAGAGUGAAAAAGUACGUGAAAUUGUUGAAAGGGAAGGGUUUGAGAUCAGACUCGAUAUUUUGUGAGCCUUGCCUUCGUGGCGGGGUGACCCGCAGCUUAUCGGGCCAGCAUCGGUUUGGGCGGUAGGAUAAUGGCGUAGGAAUGUGACUUUACUUCGGUGAAGUGUUAUAGCCUGCGUUGAUGCUGCCUGCCUAGACCGAGGACUGCGAUUUUAUCAAGGAUGCUGGCAUAAUGAUCCCAAACCGCCCGUCUUGAACMMMSGGACMCA
This 588-nucleotide ribosomal RNA is filed under the name Meyerozyma guilliermondii. RNAcentral describes it as "partial large subunit ribosomal RNA". It matches the Rfam family "Eukaryotic large subunit ribosomal RNA", at positions 68 to 669 of the family's 3401-position model. Lineage: Eukaryota; Fungi; Ascomycota; Pichiomycetes; Serinales; Debaryomycetaceae. The record is from RNAcentral.